This 814-nucleotide ribosomal RNA is filed under the name Onthophagus rectecornutus. Its description in RNAcentral is "SSU rRNA". It matches the Rfam family "Eukaryotic small subunit ribosomal RNA", at positions 477 to 1254 of the family's 1831-position model. Lineage: Eukaryota; Metazoa; Arthropoda; Insecta; Coleoptera; Scarabaeidae. The record is from RNAcentral.
CGAUACGGGACUCAUCCGAGGCCCCGUAAUCGGAAUGAGUACACUCUAAACCCUUUAACGAGGAUCAAUUGGAGGGCAAGUCUGGUGCCAGCAGCCGCGGUAACACCAGCUCCAAAAGCGUAUAUUAAAGUUGUUGCGGUUAAAAAGCUCGUAGUCGAAUUUGUGUCUCGCGCCGCCGGUUCAUCGCUCGCGGUGUCAACUGGCGUGUCCGCGGGACGUCCUGCCGGUGGGCUUAGCUCUUCUGGGCGGCCCAAUUUCAAUCCCACCGCGGUGCUCUUUACUGAGUGUCGAGGUGGGCCGGCACGUUUACUUUGAACAAAUUAGAGUGCUUAAAGCAGGCUAAAACAUCGCCUGAAUACUGUGUGCAUGGAAUAAUGGAAUAGGACCUCGGUUCUAUUUUGUUGGUUUUCGGAACCCCGAGGUAAUGAUUAAUAGGAACGGAUGGGGGCAUUCGUAUUGCGACGUUAGAGGUGAAAUUCUUGGAUCGUCGCAAGACGGACAGAAGCGAAAGCAUUUGCCAAAAACGCUUUCAUUGAUCAAGAACGAAAGUUAGAGGUUCGAAGGCGAUCAGAUACCGCCCUAGUUCUAACCAUAAACGAUGCCAGCUAGCGAUCCGCCGACGUUCCUCCGAUGACUCGGCGGGCAGCUUCCGGGAAACCAAAGCUUUUGGGAUCCGGGGGAAGUAUGGUUGCAAAGCUGAAACUUAAAGGAAUUGACGGAAGGGCACCACCAGGAGUGGAGCCUGCGGCUUAAUUUGACUCAACACGGGAAACCUCACCAGGCCCGGACACCGGAAGGAUUGACAGAUUGAGAG